Molecule: long non-coding RNA, 2866 nt
Organism: Galeopterus variegatus (Sunda flying lemur)
Lineage: Eukaryota; Metazoa; Chordata; Mammalia; Dermoptera; Cynocephalidae
Exons: 2
Source: RefSeq, a predicted model, not a curated record
UUUUUUGAAAAUUGUCAGUGGGGAAAUUCCAUUUGCUUAAAUUUAUUUCUGGCCCAUUAAAAAUAGAAACAAAAGCUCAAGAACCUCCCAAAGCACUGGGACCUAAAACAGUAGUUUUUAACUUUGUGCAUUGGACUCAUCUGGGGAAACUUUAAAAAUUUUCACGACUAGGCUGCACUCCUAGAGGUUUGGAAUUAAUUGGUGUGGAGCGUGUCCUAGGUAUCUAGAGUUUGAAAGACAUCUCCAGGUGAUGCUAAUGUGCAGCCCAAGGUUGAGACCUUGUCCUAGAAGAUUGUUAGCCAGAGGUAGAGAAAAUGGUAGAAAUGACUGUUGGGCUGGUUAAGUAAGCCAAGUGCUGGACGCCAGCAAGUUCUCCUGCUGGGAUGGUGGUUUUUCUGGUAUGUCUUUGAAAGAUCCUUGCUCCCAAGAUGAGACGCCAGAUGCCUUCAGGAGCUGGUGGAUCCAGCUGUCCUCUCUAGCCUGGAGGUUAAACUUGAGUGGGUGGGUAGGAUCUCUGUCUGGUGUCCCUGGAGUCGGUGUGUUGGGACAUAUUGGCCACAGGCCCAUUCCAAAAUGGGGGUAGAGAGUCAGUUGGGAGCUAAGUGGGUUGUCCCCCUGAAAGCAGCCUCAGAAAUUGUAGCCCCCACUUGCAUAUCUGAGCAGGAAAGGGGCACUGGAUUUGUGAGGUUUGCCUCUGAUCUGUUUUCUGACUGGGUAGAUGAGGGACGCCCCAGCUCCUGCCCUGUCAGUAGCCAAACCAGCAUCCUGGCUCACACCCUGGAGGCUCCAGAGGCUAGUUCACUGGCGAGUCUAAUUCCUGGUCCAUCCAGAUCUUGGUGGUCCAGGGAGGCACAAAUGUGGGCUCUUUGUUCCAAUGAGGGACUUAAUAGCCGGCAAAGGCUUGAAGCAAGGAGGAAUUAAGCCCUCUUUGUGCUGUGUGUGUGUGUUAAUGCAUGAGCAAAUUUAAACCCAAAAACUAACUCUAGAUGUGAUUGGAACAGGGAAAAGUUUUGUGUGGUCACUGUGCCAAGGAAUUGACUUCGAUCACCAGGCAGAUCCAGGGUGACUUCUGUAGGGCUAUGGUGGAUUCUAGAUGGAGGUGAGGAGCCAUUGAGGACUUCAGUGCUGGUAUCCUCCAGUCUUUCCUCCCAGACCCUGGCUCUUUCUUUGGGAACCAGGGCAUCCCCCCUAUGGAGACACUUCAGGCUAGGAAGACUGAGGCCUGUCCUCCCAAGGGGCCUCAAGUUAGAGGGCCAUGUCCUCACCAGGUGAUUUCAAGUACUGAUCUCAGGGACCUCUCAGGUCCCGACAUCCUGCUCUGAGUGUGCAUGUGUGAAUGGAGUGGGCGGCAGGAAGCAGGAGAGGCUGGAACCACGGGCCUGUCCUACUUGCACAGCAGGACAACACUGAAGCUCUUCUGCCAUCCUCUCUGCUGUCCACCUGAGAAAAUAGGCCACUUACUAGGAAGGUUUGUUUCCAAAAACGCAGACCCUGGUGAAGUGUGGUGCCACCGUACUCACCAGGCCCUGGAUUUCCCAUGACCUCGAUGCUCCAACCUUGUAGCUCAUUCUCUUUCCAUUGUGACUGGAAAGUAGGGACAUCUGCCCCAGAGCCACCAGUGGGGAUGGCAUCCCGGGCCACCUCUCCUGCAGGAGUGGGUGCUGUUGUCAUUGGGGUGCCUGGCCUCCUGCUGGGACCGAUCUGCUUUGCUGUGCUGCAUAGGCCAUGUUUUUGUCUGCAUGGUUUGGGGUCUUUGUGCCUUUUCUUCCCUUUCACCACUGUACAGGAUUUUCCACAUUGCCCACUGCCCCCUUUUCUACAUCUCAUCUACGCUGGCCUUUCCCAAGCCCUAUAAAUGUGUACAAACAGUGUCCUACUUUGUAUCCACGUGCCUCCACGUGAGACCUCCCAGGCCAGGCCUCCCGGGCACACGUAUCCACAAGGAUCAGGCCCUGCUUCCCUCCGCUCACUCAGCUUUGUAGAUUUGGUAACUGUGUACAGAAUCUUUAUUGUCUUAAGUGUCAGGGGGCUAGGACCCACUUAGUCCCUUAUCUAGCCUGCAGCUAGUUUAGAAGCCUUGCAUCCCAGCAAAGGGUAACUUUGUGUAAAGCUACUUCUCCCACAAACCUCUUCCUGUGUUGAUGUCAGUGUUCGGCUGAGGGAACCUUUUAACCUGGGUUGUCUCAGUCUGCAGCAGAUACGUGCACCCCUGCUGCCCCUACAGGAGGCCCUGGCUGUGUGGCUCCCAGUGCUUGGCAAUGGGCCUGGGUUUAAGGCCACCACAUCUGGUGUCUAGAACAGCUGUGGACCCCCAACUAGGCAGAUGGAAGAGGCUUUUUGCUACUUUCCCUGCCUGCUAUUAACACCUGCCCAGCUCUUCCAUGUCUCCACGUCUGCUGAAGGUGCUCAGACCAGAGUGCCAUUAAAUACCCAACUGGUGUCAGGACCUCAAUGGGACAGUGCGUUGCCAAGGCCUUGCUCGCAGCCUGUUGGCUCCCUUCCUUCUAGCUCUUCCCCUUUCUUGGCUGGGUCUUCUGGGGCUCAGGUGGAAUGAACUGCAUGUGUGGCCUUGUGCCCAAGGGUUUGUUGGAUGGCUUUUAACUCUAGGUGGGAUUCAACUUGAGCUUUUUACCCCAGGAGCCUGUCUGGAAACAGGCUUAGGUUUAGAGCUGGGGUGGGACCUCCAUUUGCAGGCCCCAGAGGGGAGAGCGUCAGGUGAGGCCCCAAGGCUGCGUCCCAGGCCCUGGAUCUUCACCUCCAGCCUGCUUCCAACUGGAAAGGACCAGGCUCUGGGUGGCAGGCUCCUUUCAGGGCACUGUAAUGUACACACCAAGGUGUAAAUAAACAGUUUGCUCUUCUUGCCUGA